RNAcentral lists this long non-coding RNA (3751 nucleotides) under Homo sapiens (human). Its description in RNAcentral is "non-protein coding WDR86-AS1:15". The record is from RNAcentral. Lineage: Eukaryota; Metazoa; Chordata; Mammalia; Primates; Hominidae.
AGACCUCACCCUGCCCUGCCGUGCGCUCAACAGCCAGAUGCUGGGCCCAGACAAGCGCUCUUCCGCUAGUGUGCCGGGAUGAGCGGGGGCUGGACUUCUAGAAAGGGGUCUGCGGGCGCAGGAGCUGGGGUCCGCGGUCUGGGGCCGCCAACACAAGCCAUCAGCCCCAUGCUCAGCUCCCAGCAGGCAGAGCGUUCAGAAGCGCCAGCGCCAUCAUCUUGGGAGCCUGCAGUCCACACACCGCUGACCUUACCUACUUCCUCUUUCCAGGUCGUAGAUUACAGACUCUCCUCUGGGAAAUUGCCCCCAGAUCUAACAGGAGUACAAGAAGCUGGGUAGAUUGGAAAACAGCACCGAAUUCCCCUGGAACUGAGGACGGAAGCCUUCCCAGUCCUGCAGCCACCUGCAGACUCUCACAAGCACGGUGCUCCCGGGAGAAGACCUUGCUACCCCAGGCCCAAGGCAGUCGAGAGAAAACGGGAAGCCCUGAAGGUUUUUCACCCCGGGGGUGAGAGUGUAUGAUCGAAGAUAUAUUUGAGGGUAAUUGUACAGAUAGUCCCAACUUAGCAUUGUUCAACUUUAUGAUGGUAUGAAAGUGAUGACAUUCAGUAGAAAUUGUACUUCAAGUGCCAAUACAAUCAGUUUUUCACUUUUGGUGCAGUAUUCAAUAAAUUACAUGAGAUAUUCAACACUUUACUUUAAAAUAGGCUUUGUGUAAGAUGAUUCUGCCCAAAUGUAAGGCUGAUGCCAGUGCUCUGAGCACAUUUAAGGGAAAGCUGGGCUAAGCAAUGAUGUUCCACAAGUUAGGCAUAUUAAAUGCAUUUUUGACUUAGAAUAUUCUCAACUUGCAAUGGGUUUAUCAGAACAUGACAUCGUUAAUCACUCAAGGAGCAUCUGUACCACUAAUGACAUAGAUGCUGGUUGCAGGAAGGCAGCCAGAGGAGGGCACAGUGUGGAAGAACUCAACUUUUUAAAGACAGAGAUCAGCUUUAAAUAUUGCUAAGAAAGAACUUGGAGAGAGAAGUUGGUGAUACCGGAGACAGCAGGCAACAGACAGAGUGAGAGGCCCGAAGAACAAGAGGAGGAGGGAGUCUCUUCUGGGAGCAGAAGGAGUGUCGACUUAAAUAUUAGGGAGCCAAAGAUGAACCUCGCAGAGAACCUGCAAAACCCAGUUGCAGAAAUACCUGCCCACACCUAAAAACUCAGUCACUGAAAGUCUGAAGUCAAAUGAUUAUGUGAAAUCUUAGUAGUGGGUACAUGUGGUUUCAUUAGAUUAUUCUUUGUAUCUAUAUUUGUACUAUCUUAUAAGCACUAUAAGUUUUAAAACCAUACAAGAGGCUCUAUGGAAAAUAAAUUGGACUUCAUUAAAAUUCAAAACGUGUGCAUCAAAAGACACUGUCAAGAGAAUGAAAAGACAACCCAUAUGAUGGGAGAAAAUCACGUAUCUGACAAAGGUCUACAAUCCAGAACAUAUUAAAAAACUCCUACAAUUCAACAAUGAAAGACCGCCACCCAGUUUUAAAAUGGAAAAAGGACUUGACGUUUCCCCAAAGAUGUGCUCGUGACGAAUGAGCAUGUGAAGAGAUGCUCACUGUUGGCCGGGCGCGGUGGCUCACGCCUGUAAUCCCAGCACUGUGGGAGGCGGAGGUGGGCGGAUCACCUGAGGUCAGGAGUUUGAGACCAGCCUGGCCAACAUGGUGAAACCCCGUUUCUACUAAAAAUAGAAAAAAUUAGCCAGGUGUGGUGGCAGGCGCCUGUAAUCCAGCUACUCAGGAGGCUGAGGCUGGAGAAUUGCUUGAACCUGUGAGGCAGAGGUUGCAGUGAGCUAAGAUCGUGCCAUUGCACUCCAGCCUAGGCAACAAGAGUGAAACUCCGUCUCAAAAAAGAAAGAAAAGAAAAGAUGCUCACUGUCAUUAGUCAUAAAGGAAAUGCAAAUCAAAAGUACAGUGAGAUGCCACUUAACACCCACUACGAUGGGUAAUCAUAGGAUGGGAAAAAUAAAAUAAGUGUGGGUGAGGAUGUGGAAAAAUCAACCCUCACACACUGCUGGUGAGAAUGUAAGAUGGUGCAGCUGCUAUGUGACCGUCUGGCAGUCCCUCGAAUGAUUAAACAUAGAGUUAUAAUGUGACCCAGCAAUUCCAUAUAUACCCAAGAGAAAUGAGCAUUAUUCCUAAUAGACAAGGGAAGAAACAGCCCCACGGUUCAUCAGCCCAUGAGUAGAUUAACUAAAUGUGGCAUAUGCAUAUAAUGGAAUACUGUUCCGCCAUGACAAAGAGUGAGGUGCUGAUAAACGGUACCACGUGCAGGGACCUUGAAAACAGAUUAAGUGAGAGAAGUCAGUCACCAAAGACCACAUAUUACCUGAUUCCAUUCAUCUGCACGGUCCAGAACAAGGGAGUCUACAGAGAUAGUUGGUUAGUGGUUGCCUAGGGCUUGGGGAAGAGGUCUGGGGAGUGGAGAAGUGAUGGGUAUAGUAUACACGGUUCCUUUUUGGGGUGAUGAAAAUGUUCUAAAAUGGACUGUGGUACUGGUUGCUUAUUUUAAUAUAUCUGUGAAUAUAUUAAAAAACCAUUGAAUUGUACACUUUACAUGGAUCAGCUAUACAGUAUGUGAACUAUUUCUCCAUAAAGCUGGGGGUUUUUUUGUUUUUGUUUUUGUUUUUUAUUUAGAUGGAGUCUCACUCUGUUGUCCAGGCUGGAGUGCAGUGGCGCGAUCUCGGCUCACUGCAACCUCCACCUCCUGAGUUCAAGCGAUUCUCCUGCCUCAGCCUCCUGAGUAGCUGGAAUUACAGGCACACGCCACCAUGGCCAGUUAAUUUUUGUAUUUUUAGUAGAGAUGGAGUUUCACCAUGUUGGUCAGGCUGGUCUCAAACUCCUGACCUCAUGAUCCGCCCGCCUCAGCCUCCCAAAGUGCUGGGAUUACAGGCGUGAGCCACCGGCCCAGCCAAAGCUGUUUUUAAAAAACCAUACAUACAGUGAGAUAUCACUUCAUAUCCACUAGUCUGGGCCAUCAUUUUUAAAAUGGAAAAUCACAAGGGCUGGUGAGGAUGUGGAGAAAUUGUAACACUCAUGCAAUGUUGGUGGGAAUGUAAGAUGGUACUGCCACUUUGGAAAAGAGUGUGGAGGUUCCUCAGUAAGGUUAAACACAGAAUUACCAUAUGAUCUAGUAAUUCUACUCCUAGGUACAUACCUCAGAGAAUUGAAAACAGGUGUUCAAACAGAAAUUUGGACUUAAUGUUCAUAGCAGCUCCAUCCACAAUAGCCAAAAGGUGGAAACAACCCAAGUUUCCAUGAACAGAUAAACAGAUCAACAAAACGUGCUAUGUUCAUACAAUGGAAGAGUAUUAGCUCCAAAAGGAAGCACUGAUGCAUUCUACAACAUGGUUGAGCCUAGAAAACAUGCUAAGUGAAAGAAGCCAGACACAAAAGACCAAUGUAUGACUCCACUGAUGUGAAAUCUCCAGAAUGGACCAAUCCCUACAGAGGGGAGCAGAUCAGUGGCUGCCCAGAGCUUGGAGGAGGGGAAUAGGGAGUCACUCCUUCCUGGGCACCAGGUUUCGGUUUGGGGUGAUGAAAUGUUCUAUAACCAGACAGUGGUGAUGGUUGCAUAACAUUGUAAAUAUGCUUAAUGCCACUGGAUUGCACAAUUUAAAAUGGUUAUGAUGGUAAAUUUUAUGUUAUGUGUGUUUUACCACGUACACACAUAAAACUUAUUUUGUGCCAUUAAAAAGAAAAAGCUCUAUGAAGCACCU